CAAAGUUUUGUUGUCAGUGCCGGGUUGAUGAAAAUGACUAUCACUAAAACUAAGUUUUGAAAAAAAAUAUUGUGAUCUAUUGCAUACUUCUCUGCACCAGGGUCUAUGUAUCACAUGUAUACAAAAGUUUUUUUUUUUUUGUAAGAAGGCAUUCAUAUUAAAUAGAGCAAAAGAAACAAAAUAUUACAAACCCAUUGGUUUAAGA
This 205-nucleotide long non-coding RNA is filed under the name Brassica rapa (field mustard). Its description in RNAcentral is "long non-coding RNA (BRAP_LNC003379)". Lineage: Eukaryota; Viridiplantae; Streptophyta; Magnoliopsida; Brassicales; Brassicaceae. The record is from RNAcentral.